GUUGGUCUGGCAGUUUAUCUGCCUGUAAUCGGGAAUGCGGUCAGAAUCCGCAGCAGCUCACUCUACUGUAAUGGCUACGAACCCCUGAUACCACUGUAAAUCAUUGAUUUGCGGGAAGGAAGGGUACUAGGUAUGAAGCCAUAAGCCAGGAUAUCGUCCAACACU
Molecule: non-coding RNA, 165 nt
Filed under: bovine gut metagenome
Source: RNAcentral